CCUUUUGAGCAUGACGUCAUCGUCCUGUCGGGCGUCCUCACAAAUUACCUGCAUUCAGAGAUGCGUAUCGGCACAGGCCGAUAUGCGAAAGUCCCAUCAUGGGGCCUUAGCUCAGCUGGGAGAGCACCUGCUUUGCAAGCAGGGUGUCGUCGGUUCGAUCCCGACAGGCUCCACCAUUUGAGUGAAACGACUUUGGGUCUGUAGCUCAGGUGGUUAGAGCGCACCCCUGAUAAGGGUGAGGUCGGUGGUUCGAGUCCUCCCAGACCCACCACUCUGAAUGUAGUGCACACUUAAGAAUUUAUAUGGCUCAGCGUUGAGGCUGGGACAUGUUCUUUUAUAACUUGUGACGUAGCGAGCGUUUGAGAUAUCUAUCUAAACGUGUCGUUGAGGCUAAGGCGGGGACUUCGAGUCCCUAAAUAAUUGAGUCGUAUGUUCGCGUUGGUGGCUUUGUACCCCACACAACACGGCAUAUGACCCUGAGGCAACUUGGGGUUAUAUGGUCAAGCGAAUAAGCGCACACGGUGGAUGCCUAGGCGGUCAGAGGCGAUGAAGGACGUGGUAGCCUGCGAAAAGUGUCGGGGAGCUGGCAACAAGCUUUGAUCCGGCAAUAUCCGAAUGGGGAAACCCACUGCUUCGGCAGUAUCCUGCAGUGAAUUCAUAGCUGCUGGAAGCGAACCCGGUGAACUGAAAUAUCUAAGUAACCGGAGGAAAAGAAAUCAACCGAGAUUCCCUAAGUAGUGACGAGCGAACGGGGAGCAGCCCUUAAGCUGGAAUGGCUUUAGAAAAACAAUCUGGAAAGAUUGGCCAUAGAAGGUGAUAGCCCUGUAUUUAAAAGGGCCACUCCAGUGAAGACGAGUAGGGCGGGGCACGUGAAACCCUGUCUGAAUAUGGGGGGACCAUCCUCCAAGGCUAAAUACUCCUGACCGACCGAAGACUGCAAC
Molecule: small RNA, 941 nt
Filed under: Xanthomonas axonopodis pv. poinsettiicola
Lineage: Bacteria; Pseudomonadati; Pseudomonadota; Gammaproteobacteria; Lysobacterales; Lysobacteraceae
Description: bacterial LSU rRNA
Rfam family: Bacterial large subunit ribosomal RNA (bases 499-941)
Source: RNAcentral